UUUAUUUUAUUUGAGACAGGGUCUCAUUGCCAGGUUGUUCUCAAACUCCUGACCUCAAGAGAUCCUCCCGCCUCGGCCCCACAAAGCACUGGGAUUACAACCAUGAGCCACCACGCCUAGCUUUAGUUUUUAUACUAUCUCACCCACUCCAACCUGGGAUAUUUACAGACUCCCAAGGUUAAAAUGUGCAUUAAAAGUCAUCUAACUGAACUACAAAUCCAAGACAUCCUUUACUCCAAAUCUGGUCUGUGAACCAACAACAUGGGCAUCAUCUAUUUGGGAGCUCCUUAGAAAUGUAGAAUCUCAGGCUCCACCCUCAGACCCACUGAAUCAGAAACCAUUUUAAAAAGAUCCCCAGGUGACUCAUGUGCACAUUAGAGUUUGAAAAGCAUUAUUACACAACAUAUUCAAGACAUUGUCACUGGACCGCCUGAUUGCCACCAUCAUGAGUCGCAUGCACACUCCUGGGAAGGGCCUGUCUCAAUCGGCUCUGCCCCGUCACUGCAAGGUUCCCACUUGGCUGAAGUUGACAUCUGAUGACAUGAAGGAGCAGACUUACAAACUGACCAAGAAGGGUCUGCCUCCCUCACAAAUCAGUGUGAUCCUGAGGCUCAUACGGUGUUACACAAGUAUGUUUUGUGACAGGCAAUACAAUCUUAAGAAUCCUUAAGUCCAAAAGACUCGCUCCUGAUCUCCCAGAGGAUCACUACUGUUUAAUUAAGCAAGCAGUUGCUAUUCAAAAGCAUCUUGAGAGGAACAGAAAGGAUAAGGAUGCCAAAUUCCAUCUGAUUCUGAUAGACGAAUUCACCGACUGGCUCAAUAUUACUAAUACACGACCAAGCAAAUCCUCCCUCCCAACUGGAAAUAUGAGUCAUCCACAGCCUCUGCCCUGGUUGCAUAAGUUUGUCUAUGUACUCAAGUAAUAAAAUGAUUGUUCACUGAAAAAAAAGUAGUCACUGAGGAAGCAACAUCAUGUGUUUUAAGCUAGAGUAUAUCUGUGAUACAGAAACUAGCACCUAUAAACUACUAUGCCAAUUUAGAUAGCCCAGACCAGCAUUACUCCUUCUAAUCAAAUUUGAUCACUCACCUCAAGACCCAUCUCAGGACCCAUUUUUUUUUUCCUUCAUGAAAUCUCCCUGAAGAAUCUAGCCUAAAUUAAGCUUAUCUCCCCUGCUAGCUGCAGCCCUACUAUACAUUUGGGCACUUGAUUAUUUCAACUUAGCAUUAUAUAUUUAUCAUCUUUAAAAUGCCAUGUCCAAGUCUUGAAAUUCUAGCAAGAUUUUAAGCUCCUGAAUUAUAAAAACAUACCCUAUUUUUUUAAAUUCCACAGUAACAAUGAAAAACAACAAACAAAAUUUCUGGAAAUUUGUUCACAAAUUAUUAAUAGAAAUUAUUAGGGGAAAGAAAGGAGGGCUCAUGGUGAAUGAAGUUUGGAAAACAAUGAGGUCCAAGGCUUUUUGCUGCGAAACUUCUAAGAGUAUUAUCAUAACAUGCAAAGUAAAUCUCUAAGGAUGGAAUAAAGUAUAUAACAUUUCACAAACUUAUUUGAUCAAGCUCUCUUUUUUCAUGAAACAUCUGCAGGUACUAGUUUCCCAAAUAUACUCUGGAAAUAAGUACUAUGUACCACUGAAAUGAAGCCAAAAAAAAAAAAAA
Molecule: RNA transcript, 1653 nt
Organism: Cercocebus atys (sooty mangabey)
Lineage: Eukaryota; Metazoa; Chordata; Mammalia; Primates; Cercopithecidae
Gene name: 40S ribosomal protein S13 pseudogene
Exons: 1
Source: RefSeq, a predicted model, not a curated record